UGAGAUGUUUGAGGGUGUCAUUUCUGAGA
RNAcentral lists this non-coding RNA (29 nucleotides) under Rattus norvegicus (Norway rat). Lineage: Eukaryota; Metazoa; Chordata; Mammalia; Rodentia; Muridae. The record is from RNAcentral.